AUAUACAAAAUUUUGAGUCGAUUCGAAUAAUUUCAAGUCAAAAUUCAUAUUCAAAUUUAUUUUAUUUAAUUUCAAACUAAAUAUAUCGAGUUUAAGAUUGAGUGAAAAGUACUGACCGUCCCUAGAACAAGUGGCAAAGGGCUUGGUGGUAGGUAUCCGAAACUCAAGUUUGAAUUCUAGUUGAUUCACAUUUAUAGUUAAGUUUAUUUCUAAAUGAAAUAAACGAAGCCGGCAGCGUGCUACCUAUUUCUCUAAAAAAAAAAGAAAAAAAAAAGAAAAA
Molecule: long non-coding RNA, 280 nt
Filed under: Ananas comosus (pineapple)
Lineage: Eukaryota; Viridiplantae; Streptophyta; Magnoliopsida; Poales; Bromeliaceae
Description: long non-coding RNA (ACOM_LNC029979)
Source: RNAcentral